Cololabis saira (Pacific saury) is the source of this 268-nucleotide long non-coding RNA. RefSeq lists it as uncharacterized. The transcript has 3 exons. The record is from RefSeq and is a predicted model, not a curated record. NCBI's taxonomy places the organism in Eukaryota, Metazoa, Chordata, Actinopteri, Beloniformes, Belonidae.
UGAGGUUUUGGGUCCAGACCUUCAAUCCAGCCUCCAUGUUUGUUGGCGUCUUAUGAAGAUCCCACGCAAAUACUCAUGAACAUAAUCGACCCUCCAUCCUCACCGGUGUCCUCUCUGACAAAUUCAGAGGAAAGCACAGAGAACACUUUGGAAGACGCCAGCACAUCGGCCUCAAGCUCUGCCUCACCAGCUGGAAGAGGAAGCUGGAAGCUUCAGGCAUCAGGUCCACUUUCCCCCCGAUCCCCCCAAAAAAAGAAACUCUCCAUGC